CCUGUGGCCACUGCUAAGUUUUCUCAAUUUGCUGGCAUAUUGAGUGCAGCAUUUUAACAGCAUCAUCUUUCAGGAUCUGAAAUAGCUUAGCUGACAUCCCAUCACUGCCACGAGCUUUGUUCCUAGUGGUAC
Long non-coding RNA from Cervus elaphus (red deer), 132 nucleotides. RefSeq lists it as uncharacterized. The record is from RefSeq and is a predicted model, not a curated record. Lineage: Eukaryota; Metazoa; Chordata; Mammalia; Artiodactyla; Cervidae. The transcript is spliced from 3 exons.